GAAGAACGAGUGAGGCGUGCUUAACACAUGCAAGUCGAACGGUGAAGGGAUCAGCUUGCUGGUUCUGGAUGAGUGGCGAACGGGUGAGUAACACGUGAGUAACCUGCCCCCUUCUUCUGGAUAACCGCAUGACAGUGUGGCUAAUACGGGAUAUUCUGCGCCUGCUGCAUGGUGGGUGUGGGAAAUAUGUUGUUUCGGUGGGGGAUGGGCUCGCGGCGUAUCAGCUUGUUGGUGGGGUGCUGGCCUGCCAAGGCGGUGACGAGUAGCGGGCCGGAGAGGGGGGGCGGUCACAGUGGGACUGAGCCACUGGCGAGAGUGAUACGGGCGGCAGCCGUGGGGAAUACAGCAGAAUGGGAGCAUGCAUGAUGCAGCGACGCCGGGUGAGGGAAGGCGGCCUGCGGGUUGUGAACCUCUUGGGCGAGUGACGCAGGCCUGUGCGUCGUGGGUGGGUUGACGGUAGCUGGAUAAGAAGCGCCGGCUAACUACGUG
This 489-nucleotide ribosomal RNA is filed under the name uncultured bacterium. RNAcentral describes it as "partial 16S ribosomal RNA". It matches the Rfam family "Bacterial small subunit ribosomal RNA", at positions 28 to 507 of the family's 1533-position model. The record is from RNAcentral.